GCCCAGGUGGCGGAAUCGGCAGACGCGCUAGCUUGAGGGGCUAGUGCCCGCAAGGGCGUGAAGGUUCAAAUCCUUUCCUGGGCACCG
This 87-nucleotide transfer RNA is filed under the name uncultured Thermomicrobiales bacterium. RNAcentral's name for it is "tRNA-Leu-GAG". It matches the Rfam family "tRNA". Rfam says of the family: Transfer RNA (tRNA) molecules are approximately 80 nucleotides in length. Their secondary structure includes four short double-helical elements and three loops (D, anti-codon, and T loops). Further hydrogen bonds mediate the characteristic L-shaped molecular structure. tRNAs have two regions of fundamental functional importance: the anti-codon, which is responsible for specific mRNA codon recognition, and the 3' end, to which the tRNAs corresponding amino acid is attached (by aminoacyl-tRNA synthetases). tRNAs cope with the degeneracy of the genetic code in two manners: having more than one tRNA (with a specific anti-codon) for a particular amino acid; and 'wobble' base-pairing, i.e. permitting non-standard base-pairing at the 3rd anti-codon position. The record is from RNAcentral. Lineage: Bacteria; Pseudomonadati; Thermomicrobiota; Thermomicrobia; Thermomicrobiales.